UACGGGGGGGGCAAGCGUUGUUCGGAAUUACUGGGCGUAAAGGGCUCGUAGGCGGCCAACUAAGUCAGACGUGAAAUCCCUCGGCUUAACCGGGGAACUGCGUCUGAUACUGGAUGGCUUGAGAUUGGGAGAGGGAUGCGGAAUUCCAGGUGUAGCGGUGAAAUGCGUAGAUAUCUGGAGGAACACCGGUGGCGAAGGCGGCAUCCUGGACCAACAUUGACGCUGAGGAGCGAAAGCCAGGGGAGCAAACGGG
This 253-nucleotide ribosomal RNA is filed under the name uncultured bacterium. RNAcentral's name for it is "partial 16S ribosomal RNA". It matches the Rfam family "Bacterial small subunit ribosomal RNA", at positions 524 to 776 of the family's 1533-position model. The record is from RNAcentral.